UGCCAGCAGCCGCGGUAAUACGGAGGGGCUAGCGUUGUUCGGAAUUACUGGGCGUAAAGCGCACGUAGGCGGACUUUUAAGUCAGAUGUGAAAUCCCAAGGCUCAACCUUGGAACUGCAUUUGAAACUGGGAGUCUAGAGAUCAGGAGAGGUUAGUGGAAUACCGAGUGUAGAGGUGAAAUGCUUAGAUAUGCCGCAGAACACCGAUUGCGUAGGCAGCCUGCCAGAGCUAUAUCGACGCUGAGGCACGAAAGCGUGGGGAGCGAACAGGAUUAGAUA
Molecule: ribosomal RNA, 278 nt
Filed under: uncultured bacterium
Lineage: Bacteria
Description: partial 16S ribosomal RNA
Rfam family: Bacterial small subunit ribosomal RNA
Source: RNAcentral